GGGCUCCUACGGGGGGCAGCAGUGAGGAAUAUUGGUCAAUGGGCGGGAGCCUGAACCAGCCAAGUCGCGUGAGGGACGACGGUCCUAUGGAUUGUAAACCUCUUUUGUCGGGGAACAAAGGCGCCCACGGGUGGGCGGAUGAGUGUACCCGAAGAAAAAGCAUCGGCUAACUCCGUGCCAGCAGCCGCGGUAAUACGGAGGAUGCGAGCGUUAUCCGGAUUUAUUGGGUUUAAAGGGUGCGUAGGCGGGCUGUUAAGUCAGCGGUAAAAGCCCGGGGCUCAACCCCGGCGAGCCGUUGAAACUGG
This 305-nucleotide ribosomal RNA is filed under the name uncultured bacterium. RNAcentral describes it as "bacterial SSU rRNA". It matches the Rfam family "Bacterial small subunit ribosomal RNA", at positions 333 to 636 of the family's 1533-position model. The record is from RNAcentral.